Homo sapiens (human) is the source of this 721-nucleotide long non-coding RNA. Lineage: Eukaryota; Metazoa; Chordata; Mammalia; Primates; Hominidae. The record is from Ensembl.
GUGGUGACAGGUGGACACCUGGGUAGGAACGCUGCUGCUGGUUGGCUGGUAGGAGGUGCUGCAGAGAGACCCCUACCUGACUGUCAUCCUCUCUCAGUGGCGAGUCCAUCUAGUUCAGACUCAGACAGGUGGAAGAAGUCAACUCCUAACUAGGGUAUAAUGAAGCAUGAUGGAAGUAUUUGACCCAGCGGCUCUUCUAUACCCAGGAGGCCCUGACUGCCACAUUCACCAGUUGAUUUUCCAGGGAACAUAAUCAGAGGCAGAAUCGUCUGGUGGUUAAAAGUACAAUCUGGAGUUAGACUGCUUGAUUUUCAAUCCCAGCUCUUCCACUCAUCAGCUUUGUUAUCUUAGCCAUUUUCUCAGGGCCAGGUAACUAGAUUGAAGCAGAGUCCAUGAAGAACUAACCAUGCCUCACUCCACCCCUGCAGAUGGCUCCUUCAUGAAGAUCUCCCCAUUUGGAACACAACAUCUGUUUCCUGCUGGGACCCUGACUGACACAAGGGUCAAAAUAAGCUCCUCCAUGGGAAGCAUUGAGAGAGGCAGAAAAUAAAGAGAAGGAAGAUAAUACUAUCCAUUCAUUGCAGUCGUCUAUGUGCUAAACACUGUGUGAAGCAUUUUGCAUGUAUUCAAUAAAUAUUUACUCAAUGCUUUAUGUGGGUUAAACACUAAUAAAUAGACAGUUUCUCUGCUCUCAGAGAGAUGACACAUGCAAUCCUCAUAA